GAUGUAGUUUGUGAAUCUGUAUAAACAGCUACAAAUCCAGAAUGGGACAGGGGAGUAUAUAAAUCCUUGAUUGGCCUGACUGAUUUUUCCAUUCUUCUUACAUAAGAAGUGUGUGUGUACUUCUGUGCAAUGCUUGGGACAUAAUUUAUGUAUUGCAAUAAAAAACAAGUAUAUGUGUGCAUAAUUGGAAGGGACAAUAAAGAAAAGCAGUUGAUGAAAUUGAAUUAUGCAUAAUAAAGCUGUAUUUUUUCAGGGAAGGCUGUAGUCAUCAGGAGAGAAAGUGAAGCUUGUUUGUUUUGUUAAUGUUGUGAGAGACCUGGGAUGGGACUACAGUCUUGUAAGACUUUGUAUUUUUAUGUCUCAUUGUAUUACCCCACAGGGUAUGGGCAAGACCAGGUGAGCAAACCAGCAUUUUGGAACCUGAGGUGUAGGAUAAACUGCAAUCCACCCUUUUGGGGACUGUUCAGGAAGCUUACAAGACAAUGCUGCCCAACAGAACCAGCUGGGUCCUGCCUGUCACUGCUGACAGCUUUUAGGGAUGAGAAUGUUGUGUCUGACGCGUGUCAGCGAGCAGAGGAGAUUCACGAGCAGAGCUGGGCUCGUCUUGCUCCCCGGUGAGGAAUAAAAGCAUUGCCCGUCUCUCACCUCGGGAGGAGGAGGAGGGGCUGCGGGGAGUGAGAAGGCAUUGUCAGGUCCGGGUCAGGCUGGAGCAUCACGGAUUAGCCGGGUGUCACUCGGCAGCCUGGAGGCAGCGCUGAGAAAGCCGGAGACAGAAAUGUGCGUGCAGGGCUGGGGGCGAGGGCUGCCAGGGCUUGUCUGGUGCAGGGCUGCUCUCCACGUUUAUGAUCUUUUGGGAAAGCAGUCAGGAAAAGGGACUGAAUAAAGAGCCCCUUAUCAAGGAAGCAGAGAAAAUGGCCACUUCUACGGCCCUGUAUUCGACCUGUAAAUGAUGCUGUUGUUAGAGCUGUUAAAAACUUUGAUUAACGAGAGUUGUGUCCACAUUUAAUCCCAGUCUGGUACCUGCAGGUCUGGUCUUGCACUUAGGGAAGCUGCUGUCAGUGGAGCCACCAAAUUGAAAAUGUGCUGCUGGUGGGAAGAUUCUUCAUUCUGUUUACUUUUUCAUGGUUGCAUCUGUUUUCUGCUUUGAAGUCCAUAAGAUUAUUUCAAUAUUUAGUGAAUUUUUAAUUUAUUUAACUUCUUGUGAAGCAGACGAAGCAGUGAGGGGGAAAAUAUGAGGGAAAGGGCUGAAUUUAGUGUCACUUGGGCCACAUACACAACCUCUGACCACAGGGUGUAAAGGUGUAAUUUCCAUUCAUAAAAGCACAAUGUAUUGACCCAUCACUUCCAAAUUUCAGUCAGAUCUCAUGUGUAACUGCAGAGUGCAGCUCACUUAAAACAGGACACAUGAUGUUAACAAAAUUGGAAUGUUUUUAAAAAAUUAUUUCUCAAUACCAUUAGUCUUUUCCAUGUAUGACUGAGGAGUGUUUUGUUUACUUCCAAUCCAAUCAGUUUCACAGUACAACAGUAUCAAUUUCCAGUACAGUUAAAUUUAUUCCAGGAUGGUCCAGUGAAAUGGUCUGACAUGCUUUCAGCUAAAUGACAAUUUGAUGGGAUGUGAAAACCACAGGAGCCAGGAAGAAGGUAAUAGUCUGUGAGUGGGCCUUAUCUGUCUUGCUACAAGGGCAUGGCUUCAAGGGGAACAAAACAACACAGGAACCUAAAACAAGCAGGGCCUGGGCUGGGCUUCACAGGGGAGCAGAGGUUUCUGCUCUGGUUGCCAGUGACUCUUUUAGAUCAAUGUUUGUAAUUUUGCUACUUUGUACAGUGUGGAAGGAACAAAAAAGAAUCCUUCACUAAAGGAGGAAAUGAUGUGUGUGAAUGGGGAGCCUUAUGUCUCUGAAAAAAAUAAUAAUAAAAUCUACACCCUCAGUUUUGUAAGGAAACAAUCUCAGAACUAAAGUUACUGACAGAGCAGCCCACAGGAUGAACUGGAAACAGGAGGUUGAUGCUCAGCCUUAGGACUGCAGUGAGUGUCACUGGGAUGUCAGCACUUCACUGCAGAGAUGUCUCAUGCAGAGCAGAGGUUUAUUCUCCAAUCACCCUUUUAGGCACUGGAUCACUUGUCUGUGCACAGGCUGUGGCUGCUUUUCACCUUGGCUCUUUCCAAAUGUACAGCAACUCUUGUAUGGUGAUUACAACCUCAGUAGUGCUACUCACUCAGAAUCACCAGCAACUAUGAUCUAAUAAAAACUUUAUUCUCUGUAAAAUGCAUUUUAAAUAAACAGCAAUCUUGUGACUCUGA
This is a long non-coding RNA of Oenanthe melanoleuca, 2302 nucleotides long. RefSeq lists it as uncharacterized. Lineage: Eukaryota; Metazoa; Chordata; Aves; Passeriformes; Muscicapidae. The record is from RefSeq and is a predicted model, not a curated record. The transcript is spliced from 2 exons.